UAAAUAUGGCUUCAUGACAAAUUAAUGAUGACUUGUUAUAUAGAUUUUUGCUGCUAAGUCCCAUGUUACGUUUCACAUUGAACCUUCUAAUCCAAUUAUAUAUCUCUUCCUCUUUUUUUUCUUUUUCUUUUUUUUUUGUUAAUGUCACAACAAUAGAUUUUUUGCUAUAAAUCUUGACGAUCCUCAUAACUUAUUGUUAAAACAAGUGUCAUAUCAAAUAAG
Molecule: long non-coding RNA, 222 nt
Filed under: Capsicum annuum
Lineage: Eukaryota; Viridiplantae; Streptophyta; Magnoliopsida; Solanales; Solanaceae
Description: long non-coding RNA (CANN_LNC016636)
Source: RNAcentral